Silurus meridionalis is the source of this 443-nucleotide long non-coding RNA. RefSeq lists it as uncharacterized. The transcript is spliced from 2 exons. The record is from RefSeq and is a predicted model, not a curated record. NCBI's taxonomy places the organism in Eukaryota, Metazoa, Chordata, Actinopteri, Siluriformes, Siluridae.
UUCCUUUCCUAACAUCGAUCACCAGCAAUUCACUCAAACCGGAACUUUGGAGUUUUGGGAAAAUGUUUCAGUACGGCACAUUUCUCUGAAACAUACACGCACUGGAAAGACGCCAUGUUAAGUGUGGCAGGAUUCUGAUUCGACUUCAGUUGAAAGACAUGCAGAAAUGGAUUUUGAUAAUUAGGCUGGUUUCGACCCCUCAUGGGAGAAGCCGAAAGAAGAAGAAGAAGAAAAAGAAGGCUGAUCUGGAUUUCACUGCUGGCUGACACGAAGUUCCCGGUGGCGGUUAAUAUAUCUGGCAAUCCGGGAGAAAACGUGUCAUUCUGCAGCAACAUCGAUACAGUUUCACUAAUUAUAAGAGUCCUGUAUCCUGUUUAGUAUGAAACAACUAAAAAAAGACAAUUAUUUACGAUAUUAGUGCAUUAAAAGUUUAUUUUAAUCUA